Long non-coding RNA from Parasteatoda tepidariorum (common house spider), 216 nucleotides. The record is from RefSeq and is a predicted model, not a curated record. Lineage: Eukaryota; Metazoa; Arthropoda; Arachnida; Araneae; Theridiidae.
AUCUCUUCGCCAUUGUUUAAUAUCAUCUAUAACUAUAUCAACUUUCCAACCUCUACUGAAAUUAAAAGCAUUGUGGUUGGAUGAGAACAACUUAGAAACAAUUCCGAAUGGGGCAUUUCAACGUCUGCAGCAGUUGGAAAUUCUAUCUUUAUCAACAAAUCAUUUAAUAAACAUCGAUUCAGGAACACUACAAGGACUGUGGAGUCUUUCCACUUU